AGUGAACGCUGGCGGUAGGCCUAACACAUGCAAGUCGAACGGCAGCACAGUAAGAGCUUGCUCUUACGGGUGGCGAGUGGCGGACGGGUGAGGAAUACAUCGGAAUCUACUUUUUCGUGGGGGAUAACGUAGGGAAACUUACGCUAAUACCGCAUACAACCUACGGGUGAAAGCAGGGGAUCUUCGGACCUUGCGCGAUUGAAUGAGCCGAUGUCGGAUUAGCUAGUUGGCGGGGUAAAGGCCCACCAAGGCGACGAUCCGUAGCUGGUCUGAGAGGAUGAUCAGCCACACUGGAACUGAGACACGGUCCAGACUCCUACGGGAGGCAGCAGUGGGGAAUAUUGGACAAUGGGCGCAAGCCUGAUCCAGCCAUACCGCGUGGGCGAAGAAGGCCUUCGGGUUGUAAAGCCCUUUUGUUGGGAAAGAAAAGCAGCAGGUUAAUACCCCGCUGUUCUGACGGUACCCAAAGAAUAAGCACCGGCUAACUUCGUG
Molecule: ribosomal RNA, 492 nt
Filed under: uncultured bacterium
Lineage: Bacteria
Description: partial 16S ribosomal RNA
Rfam family: Bacterial small subunit ribosomal RNA
Source: RNAcentral